AACGAACGCUGGCGGCAUGCCUAACACAUGCAAGUCGAACGAGACCUUCGGGUCUAGUGGCGCACGGGUGCGUAACGCGUGGGAACCUGCCCUUAGGUUCGGAAUAACUCCCCGAAAGGGGUGCUAAUACCGGAUAAUGUCUUCGGACCAAAGAUUUAUCGCCUUUGGAUGGGCCCGCGUUGGAUUAGCUAGUUGGUAGGGUAAAAGCCUACCAAGGCGACGAUCCAUAGCUGGUCUGAGAGGAUGAUCAGCCACACUGGGACUGAGACACGGCCCAGACUCCUACGGGAGGCAGCAGGGGGGAAUAUUGGACAAUGGGCGAAAGCCUGAUCCAGCAAUGCCGCGUGAGUGAUGAAGGCCUUAGGGUUGUAAAGCUCUUUUACCCGGGAUGAUAAUGACAGUACCGGGAGAAUAAGCUCCGGCUAACUCCG
This 431-nucleotide ribosomal RNA is filed under the name uncultured bacterium. RNAcentral describes it as "partial 16S ribosomal RNA". It matches the Rfam family "Bacterial small subunit ribosomal RNA", at positions 29 to 505 of the family's 1533-position model. The record is from RNAcentral.